UUUACCACUCCCGCUCUCACCAAAUCAACCCCUUCCAUCACUGUCUCUCUCUCUAUCUCUACUUAUUUUCUUACAUCGACAAAACAGAACCCUAAAACAAAAAACACGCAGAAGAGAGACAAAAAGAGAGAAAGACACUGCCUUUCUACAGCAUUAUCGACAAGAAAUUCAAUACCCGUAUUACGUUUUUCAAGAAACAGGGUUUUUGUGUUUAUUAACCUAUUGAGAUUGAUGGUCUGUUCAAAUUGAGUUUUGAUGGUGUUGUUAUGUUGAGAGUGGAUGGGGAGUGAAGAGGUUUUGGAGAAUUCUACUCUUAUGGAUGUUAGUAUGAGUUCAUGCAAUGGAACAAUGGUCCAGCACACAAAUGGCAUCGAGGAGAGUGAGAAUCUAGGUGCUGAUCUACUUAAAGAUUUUGAUUUGUGCUGGGAAGAUAUUGAGGAUCGAUUGACCGUUUCUAGAAUGGUUAGUGAUUCGGUCAUAAAGGGCAUGGUAUCUGCAGUUGAACAAGAGGCAGUGCAGAAGAUUGCUCAGAAAGAAUUGGAGUUGACUAGAUUGAAGGAAGAAUUGCAUCUUUACCACGUGGGCGCAGAUGAAAAUGAAUCUGUGUGUUCAGGGAUGUGCCAAGAGCAAAAAUAUAGAAAAAAUGGUCUUUAUUCUACCCAUUCAGAUACAUUUGUGGAGCAAGCUAUGUUACAAGAAUCUUUGGAAAAUCUUAAAAUUGCAGUUAAAGGGAAGCUCAAGAAGCUCAAGAAAGAAAUUCACAAGGUUAAAGGGUCCUGUUCUAUGAGGAGGAAUUCAGCUUCUGAAAUUGUGGGUUUGAGUGGUAUUCUUCCAGAAAAGGUGCCUGAUAAAUGGAGUGAUGUGGACAGAAUGCUUGAGGAUCUAGGAACUACUCUGGACUCUUUCUACAAACACACAGAUGAUAUGGUCCGUUUCUCCAAGUUAUCACUCUUUGAGUGGCAGCAGGAGAAGGAGUUUCAAGCAGAAAUUGAAGGGCUGGUUAUCCAGAAUUGUAUUAGGGGUCUCCAAGAAGAGUUUGAGCAGAGUUUGUGGGAUCAAAAUACCCAGUUUUUUGGCAAUGUAAGUGCAAGUUGGCUUGAAAAGGUGAAAGAGCUUUCAAGUUUACGUCAGGAAUUGGAUGCCAUCGCAAAGUCACUGUUUGUAUCUGAAAGCGGUCUGUUAAUUUCUCAUGGUUCCUUUGAGCACCGGAAGUCUUCAGGUCAUCAUGUUUCAAAUGGAAAUCACGAUGAGUCUAUAAUUACUAUGCCAGAAAAUUUGGAAGCUGCCCAACUAAAGCACAUGAACAGGGAAGAAUUGUUUCAUUAUCUCAAGACUGAGAUGACUAAAAUGAAGAGACACCAUGAGUCAAAAGUGCAAGAGAUGACGGAAGAAAUUUUCAGCCUCAAGAGGGAGUACUUAAAAGAAAGGGGAUCUUCUUUGCCAGUGAGGAAGGAUAAGGACUUAGACAUACUGAGGAAAAAGAUCGCUGAGGUCAUUUUGAAAUUGGAUGACAUUCUUGUUGAAAAUGAGAAAGUGCCUUCAGCGAGCAACAAUGCAGAGAGUCUUGACAAUAUGAAGGACAGACUUGAAUCCCUUCGUUUAGAAAACCAUGAACUACGAGACUUGCUUGCACAAAAGAUAAGGGAAAUAAAGCUCCUUUCCUCACAAGUUUCUGAUGCUACUGAGAAAAUGUCACAACAUUCUCUGACAGAGGUAAACUUGUUGAGAAUAAUCACAAAUCUUAAAAGUUUAAUAGAAGAUACACAUGCUGAAACUACAAUCAGUGAAGAUCUGCAUAAAAUACUUCUCAAGGAGUUCAUGGGCCAGAUCAAAUGCUUCACUAAAGAAUCAGACCUGGAGUAUGAUUUCAUGGAGGGAAUUUAUGAAAUUAUAUUCAGAGAAGCAGCUCAAAAUGCCAAAUCUGCUAGCAAAUUGGAAAUUGAAGAUUCAGAUAUGGAGUCUAUUAUUACACAAGGGCUGUUGGAAGUUGGUCUUCAAGAGGCCUUCAAGGAAGCUGAGGAGAAACUUGGUAGUUUGAACCAGAAAUAUGUUGAUGAAAAUAAAGUUCGAUUGACGCUUGAGAUGGAAGCUAUGGAAAAAGAAAAGGCAUUAAGAAUGAGCAUUGCAGAGAAAGAAAAACUAGACCAAGAUAUACACUUGCUAACAGCAACAAUUCAAGAGAAGGACAAACUAGUGCGGGAAUCAACAGAUGCGUUGGAAAAGGAGAAGGAAAAUUUAGAGUUGGCUUCUAGAGAGCUUGGCAAUUUAAGGGCUCAGACAAGUCAGCAGCGUCUAUUAAUUUCACAAAACAGUGAAGAAUCUGAGAUCAUUAAACAUGAUUUGCUCGAGGCUUUGGACAAAAACAAACUUUGUGAAGAGGAGAUUAGCAAGUUGCAAGAGAAGAUUCAGCUAGUGACAGAGAACUUGAGGGAAGCUACUGAAGAGAAAAGCAUGCUGCUUGCUGUUUCUCAAGAGAAGCAAUCAUUGGUUGAAGCAAGAGAAAGGGAGCACAGGGAGCAACUGGAUUCAAUAGUUGUUCUUGUCAAUGGAUUAUCAAGAGCAGUUACUGAUUUUGAAAGCAGAGCCACAAAAGAAAUCAAAAGGAGUAGCUUGAGGCUGGAAAAUCUUAGUUCACAAUCGGGUUCUCUUAUUCAGAAGGCUGGUAUACUUACAAGAAUGGGAUUUCUGCACAAGCAGAAGUUGGAAAGUAGGUGUUCUGACCUUCAAAAGGCUGAAGCUGAGGUUGAUCUUUUGGGUGACGAGGUAGAAAAUCUUCUAAGCCUCCUUGAAAAGAUAUACAUAGCACUGGAUCAUUAUUCUCCGAUAUUGAAACAUUAUUCUGGAAUUACUGAGAUUCUAAAGCUAGUUAGAAGAGAAUUGAAUGGAGAAUCUAUGAAACCAGUUUGAUCCGACAAGGUAAUGUUUCCAAAUUAGGUGGUUCCAUCUUAAACAUUAUGUCUUUUGGGACAUGGCAAGAUGAAAGUGAGCCAAAGGCCAUUGGUGUAUGCUCCUAGCUCAAGCUGUCACCUAAACAUAGCAUUCUAUGAUACUGCAUAGUGAGGGAGGGAAUUUUGCCAAGUGCCUUCGCCAACACAUUGAAGCUUCAAACUCUUGCAAAGUGGAAAGCCAAAAAAAUAUUCUUAGUUUUUGGUGUCAGAAGGAAAGGGAUGCAGUCUCCCCCUUGGCCUUUGGAGGGGCACGCCAAACGCCCGCAACAAGAGGCGAGGCAACUUUAGAAAACUUGGUUCUUGUGAUGCAGAAUGGUCCCACAUUCCUGGUUCUGGACUGCUAGUCACAGUGAAUCACAGACUGGUUCUGUGAUUGACAGUUUUCAGUUCUCCGUCCCCCCUUCUGCCUACAUAGAUUAUAGUUUUAUCAUACCAUAGGUUUACAGCCUGUUAAUGUAUAGGUCUUUCUGCAGUUAAUGAAUCAUUCUUGGUAGUUGGUAGGCAAGUUUUCAGCUGUCUUCAUUCUUGAGAUACGAUAGCUGUUAUCCCAAGUAGAAAAGAAAUCUCUUACAAGCAGCAGAUUUUUUGGGAAUCAUCAAAAAGUGAUUCCUAAUCAAAACUAAUGAAAAUCUUAAGCAAUUUCCUUACCAGCAUGCUGGUGGGAUCA
Molecule: RNA transcript, 3615 nt
Organism: Populus trichocarpa (black cottonwood)
Lineage: Eukaryota; Viridiplantae; Streptophyta; Magnoliopsida; Malpighiales; Salicaceae
Gene name: WPP domain-associated protein
Exons: 6
Source: RefSeq, a predicted model, not a curated record